RNAcentral lists this ribosomal RNA (495 nucleotides) under uncultured soil bacterium. RNAcentral's name for it is "bacterial SSU rRNA". It matches the Rfam family "Bacterial small subunit ribosomal RNA", at positions 26 to 518 of the family's 1533-position model. The record is from RNAcentral.
AGAUUGAACGCUGGCGGCAUGCUUUACACAUGCAAGUCGAACGGCAGCACGGGGGCAACCCUGGUGGCGAGUGGCGAACGGGUGAGUAAUAUAUCGGAACGUACCCGGAAAUGGGGGAUAACGUAGCGAAAGUUACGCUAAUACCGCAUAUGCCCUGAGGGGAAGCGGGGGAUCGCAAGAACCUCGCGUUUUCGGAGCGGCCGAUAUCGGAUUAGCUAGUAGGUGAGGUAAAGGCUCACCUAGGCGACGAUCCGUAGCUGGUCUGAGAGGACGACCAGCCACACUGGAACUGAGACACGGUCCAGACUCCUACGGGAGGCAGCAGUGGGGAAUUUGGACAAUGGGCGCAAGCCUGAUCCAGCCAUGCCGCGUGAGUGAAGAAGGCCUUCGGGUUGUAAAGCUCUUUCAGCCGGAAAGAAAACGCAACGGUUAAUAACCUGUGUGGAUGACGGUACCGGAAGAAGAAGCACCGGCUAACACGUAGCCAGCAGCCGC